UGAGUUUACGCUCUACAACCCUUUGUGAACAUACCUAUAACUGUUGCUUCGGCGGGUAGGGUCUCCGUGACCCUCCCGGCCUCCCGCCCCCGGGCGGGUCGGCGCCCGCCGGAGGAUAACCAAACUCUGAUUUAACGACGUUUCUUCUGAGUGGUACAAGCAAAUAAUCAAAACUUUUAACAACGGAUCUCUUGGUUCUGGCAUCGAUGAAGAACGCAGCGAAAUGCGAUAAGUAAUGUGAAUUGCAGAAUUCAGUGAAUCAUCGAAUCUUUGAACGCACAUUGCGCCCGCCAGCAUUCUGGCGGGCAUGCCUGUUCGAGCGUCAUUUCAACCCUCAAGCUCUGCUUGGUGUUGGGGCCCUACAGCUGAUGUAGGCCCUCAAAGGUAGUGGCGGACCCUCCCGGAGCCUCCUUUGCGUAGUAACUUUACGUCUCGCACUGGGAUCCGGAGGGACUCUUGCCGUAAAACCCCCCAAUUUUCCAAAGGUUGACCUCGGAUCAGGUAGGAAUACCCGCUGAACUUAAGCAUAUCAAUAAGCGGAGGAAAAGAAACCAACAGGGAUUGCCUCAGUAACGGCGAGUGAAGCGGCAACAGCUCAAAUUUGAAAUCUGGCCCUAGGCCCGAGUUGUAAUUUGCAGAGGAUGCUUUUGGUGCGGUGCCUUCCAAGUUCCCUAGAACGGGACGCCAGAGAGGGUGAGAGCCCCGUACAGUUGGACACCAAGCCUUUGUAAAGCUCCUUCGACGAGUCGAGUAGUUUGGGAAUGCUGCUCAAAAUGGGAGGUAUAUUUCUUCUAAAGCUAAAUACCGGCCAGAGACCGAUAGCGCACAAGUAGAGUGAUCGAAAGAUGAAAAGCACUUUGAAAAGAGGGUUAAACAGCACGUGAAAUUGUUAAAAGGGAAGCGCUUGUGACCAGACUUGCGUCCGGUGAAUCACCCAGCUCUCGCGGCUGGGGCACUUCGCCGGCUCAGGCCAGCAUCAGCUCGCUGUCGGGGACAAAAGCUUCAGGAACGUAGCUCUCUUCGGGGAGUGUUAUAGCCUGUUGCAUAAUACCCUUCGGCGGGCUGAGGUAC
RNAcentral lists this ribosomal RNA (1071 nucleotides) under fungal endophyte. Its description in RNAcentral is "eukaryotic LSU rRNA". The stretch from base 488 to 1071 matches the Rfam family "Eukaryotic large subunit ribosomal RNA", at positions 1 to 596 of the family's 3401-position model. The record is from RNAcentral. Lineage: Eukaryota; Fungi.